Molecule: ribosomal RNA, 445 nt
Filed under: uncultured bacterium
Lineage: Bacteria
Description: bacterial SSU rRNA
Rfam family: Bacterial small subunit ribosomal RNA
Source: RNAcentral
GUGAGGAAUAUUGCGCAAUGGAGGCAACUCUGACGCAGCCAUGCCGCGUGCAGGAAGAAGGCGCUACGCGUUGUAAACUGCUUUUAACCGGGAAGAAACCCCAGGACGUGUCCUGGGUUGACGGUACCGGAGGAAUAAGCACCGGCUAACUUCGUGCCAGCAGCCGCGGUAAUACGAAGGGUGCAAGCGUUAUCCGGAUUCAUUGGGUUUAAAGGGUGCGUAGGCGGAGCGUUAAGUCAGUGGUGAAAUCCUGCAGCUUAACUGUAGACUUGCCAUUGAUACUGGCGCUCUUGAGUGCGCUUGAAGUGGGCGGAAUGUGCCGUGUAGCGGUGAAAUGCUUAGAUAUGGCACAGAACACCAAUUGCGAAGGCAGCUCACUAAGGCGAUACUGACGCUGAGGCACGAAAGCGUGGGGAUCGAACAGGAUUAGAAACCCGAGUAGUCC